UGGGGAAUAUUGCACAAUGGGCGCAAGCCUGAUGCAGCCAUGCCGCGUGUAUGAAGAAGGCCUUCGGGUUGUAAAGUACUUUCAGCGGGGAGGAAGGUGUUGUGGUUAAUAACCACAGCAAUUGACGUUACUCGCAGAAGAAGCACCGGCUAACUCCGUGCCAGCAGCCGCGGUAAUACGGAGGGUGCAAGCGUUAAUCGGAAUUACUGGGCGUAAAGCGCACGCAGGCGGUCUGUCAAGUCGGAUGUGAAAUCCCCGGGCUCAACCUGGGAACUGCAUCCGAAACUGGCAGGCUUGAGUCUUGUAGAGGGGGGUAGAAUUCCAGGUGUAGCGGUGAAAUGCGUAGAGAUCUGGAGGAAUACCGGUGGCGAAGGCGGCCCCCUGGACAAAGACUGACGCUCAGGUGCGAAAGCGUGGGGAGCAAACA
This 427-nucleotide ribosomal RNA is filed under the name uncultured bacterium. RNAcentral's name for it is "partial 16S ribosomal RNA". It matches the Rfam family "Bacterial small subunit ribosomal RNA", at positions 355 to 774 of the family's 1533-position model. The record is from RNAcentral.